This 497-nucleotide ribosomal RNA is filed under the name uncultured bacterium. RNAcentral describes it as "partial 16S ribosomal RNA". It matches the Rfam family "Bacterial small subunit ribosomal RNA", at positions 28 to 507 of the family's 1533-position model. The record is from RNAcentral.
GAUGAACGCUGGCGGCGUGCCUAAUACAUGCAAGUCGAGCGAACAGACGAGGAGCUUGCUCCUUUGACGUUAGCGGCGGACGGGUGAGUAACACGUGGGUAACCUACCUAUAAGACUGGGAUAACUUCGGGAAACCGGAGCUAAUACCGGAUAAUAUUUCGAACCGCAUGGUUCGAUAGUGAAAGAUGGCUUUGCUAUCACUUAUAGAUGGACCUGCGCCGUAUUAGCUAGUUGGUAAGGUAACGGCUUACCAAGGCAACGAUACGUAGCCGACCUGAGAGGGUGAUCGGCCACACUGGAACUUAGACACGGUCCAGACUCCUACGGGAGGCAGCAGUAGGGAAUCUUCCGCAAUGGGCGAAAGCCUGACGGAGCAACGCCGCGUGAGUGAUGAAGGUCUUCGGAUCGUAAAACUCUGUUAUUAGGGAAGAACAAACGUGUAAGUAACUGUGCACGUCUUGACGGUACCUAAUCAGAAAGCCACGGCUAACUACGUG